AACCCAUGAUGAGGACAUUUUCUAGUGUAUCCUUUAAGUCUCUCCCAUGCUUCAUCAAAGUCUCAUGGGUUCCUUGUUUGAACCUCAAGAUGUCUUUCCUAGCUU
Molecule: small nucleolar RNA, 105 nt
Filed under: Eutrema salsugineum
Lineage: Eukaryota; Viridiplantae; Streptophyta; Magnoliopsida; Brassicales; Brassicaceae
Description: Plant small nucleolar RNA R71
Rfam family: Plant small nucleolar RNA R71
About the family: R71 is a member of the C/D box family of snoRNAs containing the C (UGAUGA) and D (CUGA) box motifs. Multiple nearly identical copies of this snoRNA have been identified in Arabidopsis, and it is thought to function as a 2'-O-ribose methylation guide for 18S ribosomal RNA.
Source: Rfam by way of RNAcentral